GGCCCCGUAGCUCAGCUGGAUAGAGCAGGUUCCUCCUAAGGACAAGGUCGGCGGUUCGACUCCGCCCGGGGCCG
This 74-nucleotide transfer RNA is filed under the name Candidatus Lindowbacteria bacterium RIFCSPLOWO2_02_FULL_62_12. Its description in RNAcentral is "tRNA-Arg". It matches the Rfam family "tRNA". Rfam says of the family: Transfer RNA (tRNA) molecules are approximately 80 nucleotides in length. Their secondary structure includes four short double-helical elements and three loops (D, anti-codon, and T loops). Lineage: Bacteria; Candidatus Lindowiibacteriota. The record is from RNAcentral. RNAcentral also lists the same sequence under 1 other name.